Non-coding RNA from Arabidopsis thaliana (thale cress), 217 nucleotides. NCBI's taxonomy places the organism in Eukaryota, Viridiplantae, Streptophyta, Magnoliopsida, Brassicales, Brassicaceae. The record is from RefSeq.
AGGUUUGAGAGUGAUGUUGGUUGUUGACAGAAGAUAGAGAGCACUAAGGAUGACAUGCAAGUACAUACAUAUAUAUCAUCACACCGCAUGUGGAUGAUAAAAUAUGUAUAACAAAUUCAAAGAAAGAGAGGGAGAGAAAGAGAGAGAACCUGCAUCUCUACUCUUUUGUGCUCUCUAUACUUCUGUCACCACCUUUAUCUCUUCUUCUCUCUAACCU